GACAAUUCUUAUAUUGUCUCUCUUUGCUCUAUUUUCCAGGUAGUUUGCUUUUGUAAUAAGAUAUUUCAUAUUCUCCCUGAAUCAGUUCAAUUUAAAGAUACCAACAGACUGGACCAUGCAGGCAGUGGAACAAGACUGCUUCCAACCUCAUGGAUUUACAUUUUCUUUCCUGGACCCACACCACACUUGCCUGAUAUAGGCUAUAUCAGUGGUUUUAUGGAAUACAUACUGUAAGAGAGGAAUCAGAUCCAAGGUGCAAGGAGCAGAGAAAAAAGGAGCAGAAAAGCAGGGAAAGGUGUGAGAAGAGAAAAAAAAACUCAAGAUUCCAGUGAGAGAAGAGAAGCUGAGAGAACUCCAACUACUACUUCACUUCUUUAGCUGGGAGGAGCAGACCUCCUAAGCUGGGAGAAAGCUUGGAUCUCUCUGAAGAUCAACUGCUUUCCUUUUGAACCCCUGAAUAUCUCUCACUCAGCUUAAGAUAUUGUGAAAUGGGACUUUGAAGAAAGCCAUCUACAGAGAAAUUCUCUCUCCAAAGAUUUAUUCCCUUUCCCUCUCCCUAACUUGUCCUGGACUCCAUUACUCAAGGCAGUUAGCUCAGGAGCAGGGACCAAACCAGCAUCUGACCGGAAAAGGGGCCAAAAGAGCCUGAAUCCUGAAAGUUUGGGGGGGGGUCAGUCUGCCAGUCAAUAGGGCUUCCUGUUUACCCAUUUUACUCACCUGUCACCCCUACCUCCCCCUUUCUUGUGUGAACCCAAAUAAAGUAUCUACUACUUAGAAUCA
RNAcentral lists this long non-coding RNA (780 nucleotides) under Monodelphis domestica (gray short-tailed opossum). RNAcentral's name for it is "lncRNA (ENSMODG00000039385.1)". The record is from RNAcentral. Lineage: Eukaryota; Metazoa; Chordata; Mammalia; Didelphimorphia; Didelphidae.